UACGUAGGGCGCAAGCGUUGUCCGGAAUUAUUGGGCGUAAAGAGCUCGUAGGCGGCUUGUUGCGUCGGUUGUGAAAGCCCGGGGCUUAACCCCGGGUCUGCAGUCGAUACGGGCAGGCUAGAGUGUGGUAGGGGAGAUCGGAAUUCCUGGUGUAGCGGUGAAAUGCGCAGAUAUUCGGAAGAACACCAAUGGCGAAAGCAGCUCUCUGGGACGGUACUGACGCUGAGACGCGAAAGCGUGGGGAGCGAACAGG
RNAcentral lists this ribosomal RNA (253 nucleotides) under uncultured bacterium. RNAcentral describes it as "partial 16S ribosomal RNA". It matches the Rfam family "Bacterial small subunit ribosomal RNA", at positions 524 to 776 of the family's 1533-position model. The record is from RNAcentral.